Molecule: ribosomal RNA, 440 nt
Filed under: uncultured bacterium
Lineage: Bacteria
Description: partial 16S ribosomal RNA
Rfam family: Bacterial small subunit ribosomal RNA
Source: RNAcentral
CCUACGGGAGGCAGCAGUGGGGGAUAUUGCACAAUGGGGGAAACCCUGAUGCAGCGACGCCGCGUGUGGGAAGACGGUCUUCUGGAUUGUAAACCACUGUCCCCAGGGACGAAAAUGACGGUACCUGGGGAGGAAGCUCCGGCUAACUACGUCCCAGCAGCCGCGGUAAUACGGAGGGAGCAAGCGUUGUCCGGAAUUACUGGGUGUAAAGGGAGCGUAGGCGGGGAUGCAAGUUGGGUGUCAAAACUACCGGCUCAACCGAUGGUCGCACCAAAAACUGCAACUCUUGAGUGAAGUAGAGGCAGGUGGAAUUCCUAGUGUAGCGGUGAAAUGCGUAGAUAUUAGGAGGAACACCAGUGGCGAAGGCGGCCUGCUGGGCUUUUACUGACGCUGAGGCUCGAAAGUGUGGGGAGCAAACAGGAUUAGAUACCCGGGUAGUC